RNAcentral lists this transfer RNA (76 nucleotides) under Neomoorella thermoacetica. RNAcentral describes it as "Moorella thermoacetica tRNA-Ala". It matches the Rfam family "tRNA". From Rfam's summary of the family: Transfer RNA (tRNA) molecules are approximately 80 nucleotides in length. Their secondary structure includes four short double-helical elements and three loops (D, anti-codon, and T loops). Further hydrogen bonds mediate the characteristic L-shaped molecular structure. tRNAs have two regions of fundamental functional importance: the anti-codon, which is responsible for specific mRNA codon recognition, and the 3' end, to which the tRNAs corresponding amino acid is attached (by aminoacyl-tRNA synthetases). tRNAs cope with the degeneracy of the genetic code in two manners: having more than one tRNA (with a specific anti-codon) for a particular amino acid; and 'wobble' base-pairing, i.e. permitting non-standard base-pairing at the 3rd anti-codon position. RNAcentral also lists the same sequence under 12 other names. The record is from RNAcentral. Lineage: Bacteria; Bacillati; Bacillota; Clostridia; Neomoorellales; Neomoorellaceae.
GGGGGUGUAGCUCAGCUGGGAGAGCACCUGCUUUGCACGCAGGGGGUCAGCGGUUCGAAUCCGCUCAUCUCCACCA